This 2180-nucleotide long non-coding RNA is filed under the name Equus caballus (horse). RNAcentral describes it as "lncRNA (ENSECAG00000053120.1)". The record is from RNAcentral. Lineage: Eukaryota; Metazoa; Chordata; Mammalia; Perissodactyla; Equidae.
CAUCCUUCACUGCCUCCUAAGGCAGCCCACUUCCUCUCUGCACACUCCCAAAGGAAGUCUUCCCAAGACUGAGCCCUGAAGAUCUAUGCUCAGCUACCGUUCACAGCUCCUUUCCUCUCCGUAUAGAACCAGCACGGGAUGAGCCCUGCAAAUUCGUGUCCCAGGAGCUCCUGGUACUGGUUCCAACAAGGCGGAGCUAAAUGGGAGGCCCUGCCAAUGGUUUUUUCCAGCCCUUGGAACAUUUUUGCAACCCUUAGAAAGCUCUUGGAAAAAACGCCUUUGAUGGUGGUGACUGAGGGGAACAAAGUGCCCCAAAGAGCAACUGCAAGGGCCGGAUGGGGCAGUAGCUCCCUCAGUGAGAGGGGACAGUACUGGGCAGUUGCUCUCUCAGUGAAGAGCCAAGAGGAAGAGGAGCCCAAAGACCAGCGCACUCCUCAUCGGUACCCUUUUGCCAGUGACUCUCCCCUUUCCCAUCCAACAAGGUGGAGUCUUUGUCCUUCAAGAGGCCCAGAGCUCAGGAGGAACCUGCUUCUAUGAGAUGGAUUUUCUCCACGGCCUGAAAGGCAAGAGGAUCAUAAAUGUGCCAAUGGAAUUCAGAUUUCCCAAGUUGUUCAACCACCACAAUAAAGCUAAAAGCAAAACUCCGCUGGAAGGGAGCGGAGACUUUAAUGCAGGAGGCUGCGCGGCAGUGAGAAGACGAAUCGGGCCUCUGACAGCCCCUCCUCUGCAAAUGGAUUUGGCUGCAGUGAGCUGGGCCCUUGCAGCACGGCAAGACUGAGCCCUGUGGCUGAGCUGGGUGGCUCACCCCUGGGAGGGCGUGGCCACACCCAGAAGAGAACACUGCUGAGCCCUGAGGGCAGCACCCAGCCACCAAGCACCAAGUUUUCUCAUAAGGCCCAUGGGCAGUUUAAACUCCAUCCUUGGGGCUGGCCCCAUGGCCAAGUGGUUAAGUUCGUGCGCUCCUGCUGCGGGUGGCCCAGGGUUUCGCCAGUUCGAAUCCUGGGCGCAGACAAGGCACCGCUUAUCAAGCCACGCUGAGGCAGCAUCCCACAUGCCAGAACUAGAAGGACCCACAACUAAAAAAAUACACAACUAUACGCUGGGGGGCUUUGGGGAGAAAAAGGAAAAAUAAAAUCUUAAAAAAAAAAAACAAAAAAACUCCAUCCUGGUCUUGCGACCAGUUCCAGAGUGGCUGGGACCCACGGUCCAUCUUGUAGGCAAGGUGAGGAGCUGGGCCCUGGCAGGUACAGAGGGAAGUGGCCAAUAUAGUGGUCACAGCUGGGCUUAGUGCGGAAUGCACGCCAGUCUGACUGGUCCCCCACUCACUCCUCCUCUGGCCCUUGGCUGGUGGCGUUGGGGAACUUGAUGCUGUGACACUCUCGUCCCCUCACCCCCGUUGUGGACAGCAGUGGGAAGGGAGAUGAAAGCCCCUUGGUUGGACAUGGACCAACUGGGGACUGUUGUGAAGAGAGAACUAAGACAACACAGUGUGUCACGUGAAGGAGGAAACAAGAAGAAGGGACAGAGGGACACGGAUCCAGCCUCUAGCCAUUUGAGGGACAUCUAGCAAGAAGGGUUUAUUGAACAGCUAUCAAGUGUCCACCACUGUAACUGGGACACCCCCUGGGGCUGCUGACUUCACUGAAUGUUCCAGAACACCUUGUAUUGACCUGAGAACAGCCUGGUCAAUGGAAGUGUCAUUGGAUCAUGUGCUUUUGUCUUAUGUAAUAGGGAGGAGCAGCUGCCCAGGGGUCGGGCGGGGUGAAGAGAAAGAUCAUGCCAGCAAGGCCGGGAGCCAGGCUGUAAGAGGUGCUUGAGGUGGAGCGGAAUGGGUAAAUAAGUUGCAUUCACAGGAUUUUCAGGGAGCGAAGACACCAAGCAGCAUGUGUGUGAAAAGAAUCUUUUGAGAAGCUGCUUGGGGUAAAGGUCCUCGAGAAAGGACACGAAGAGUUGUUAGCAUGGCAUUGAGGGCCAUAUGCUCUCUGUCCUCUCCCCAGAUUGAUAUCUGCCCUCCCCCAAGACAUCCUGAGGAAUACUUCCACGUUUGGGAAGAAAAAUGUUAUAACUGAUAACCAAGACACUUGAGAAUAUACAAAAUCAGCUUCACAAAUUCCAUUGUUUUUGUUCCUGUCUUGAAAAACUUUUGGAAAGAGACAGAGAGCCCACAGUCUGGAAAGAAG